This 86-nucleotide non-coding RNA is filed under the name Clostridiales bacterium PH28_bin88. RNAcentral describes it as "c-di-GMP-I-GGC riboswitch aptamer". It matches the Rfam family "c-di-GMP-I-GGC riboswitch aptamer". RNAcentral also lists the same sequence under 1 other name. The record is from Rfam by way of RNAcentral. Lineage: Bacteria; Bacillati; Bacillota; Clostridia; Eubacteriales.
UCCGAUAAGGGCAAACCUGUCGAAAGGCAGGGGCGCAAAGCUACGGGCCUAAAGUUUUGUCAUCCAUGGCCGCCGGGCUGCCGCAG